CACUUGACUUUCAAUGUAAAACGCAGGUGAAAUGGUUUAAAAUGCUGAUUUUUUUAUGGUCUGUUUUGAAAAUGCUGAUUUCUAAACUUUAACGCGAUCCCUUGUUACAACUAUAGUUAUCCUAGGUCUGACACAGACACACACACACAGCUAAGUAAACCUGUGAGAGGGCCUGUCAUGCCAAAUAGUGUCCCCCUGCCAAAAAGUGUCCUGAAGGACGGUAUUUUUGGAGUGAAGUGCAUGAUUGCCAAAAUCAACCUACGAUUCUUCUGACGGGGAAUUGUCAAGGAGGUGGACAGCUGGGCAAGUGAAAUAACCUUUUGUUUAUCAAUCACAUUCUAUUAUAUCUGAAAUUAUUAUGAUUUCAAUGAAUGUCAUAUCAGAGGCCACAAUGUUUUAAUUUGUCACUUUUUGCUUAAAGGUCAGUACCCUGUCUAGCCUGCCAGAAGUUUGAGAGGGCAAAGACUGUGGCGCCGGAGUUGAAGCCCAUCAAAGUUGUUUCACAACGGCACAUGAUUGGGGUGGACCUCAUCGGACCCUUCCCAAAUCCAGGAAUGGCAACAGCUGGUGUCUGACAGCGACCGAUCACUUUACCAAGUGGGUGGAGGCAAUACCCAUUAAGGUCAGUAAAUGAAGAGUACGUGCUUAACUCUAUAUUCCCUUCUGUAACCCAUUAAAAAGGGUGCUUGGAACCAAAAAUAGAUGUUCGUUUUGUAUGAUACCCAUCAAGGACGAGACUGGCGAGAAUUCAGAUGAUGGACAUCUUCAACCCACAGUUCACCCAUGAUUGAAUUAGUUUUGUUGUUUGUCUAUUGCUAUUUUUGUAUAACGUACUUUCAGAUCACUGAAACCCCACCUGAUGUGGUGGAAGUUGUCGAACCAGAUCAGAACGCCUUCGAGGACCACCUUCAGGCAUGGACUGAGAAGGAUGUGGAGGUUUUUGACCAGGCGCAGGAGAAACAGGAGGAGAGCUACUGGAGCAGAAUCAUGAAGGGGACCACCGGGCGAAUGACUUGGUUUGGAAGAAGGACGAAAGGAAGGCGAGAACUGGGAAACCUCACUGCUCUUUCGCUCCUAGCUGGGGUCACCAUCUGUUAAGGGUUACCUCGGUGGAAGCCAAUAAUCUUCUCCAGUUGGAGCAGUUGGACGGUCGACCACUGAAAGCACUGACGCCCUACACUUUGGUGAAGCUCAAUAGACAAAGACCAUCGACCAGGAGGUAUCCCAUCCACCAGAACCAGUGAAUUCGGAUCAGUCUGAGUCGGAGGGGGACCAGCUUGAGGACCUAGGGGUUCUGCCCAACACCCAGACGUGGAUCCACCUGAUGUCCUCCAUUACCAACCACCCUCCAACUUUUCAUUACAUCAUCUACAACUACUGUUAUUGUCAUGUUGUCAUUAUCUGCUAAGAAAGUUUUCUUGCGCUAGCAUACUGGGCACAUAAUAUGUGAGAUACACAGAUUAACUAAAAACACUAACACUGCAAACACUCAGAACAAAGAGAGCAGCAGUGCCUGGACUUUGCAGUCUCCCUCUUCAAGUCCCCCUUCCGAGACUAACUGCCUGUUGAGAACAAGUGACAGGCAGAACCUCUGCACACAGCAACCACCUCCUCAAAAGUCCACACACCAGAAUUCAGUAUUUCAGUCUAUGAUUGCCAUGUGUGUACAAAAACAUCUGUGAAAAUAAAUUAAUGACAACAACUGUACCAAAAAAUAUCAAUGUUUAUGUAUUAAAAUCUUAAAUAUUGCCAGGUUGGUUUUCACAGCUGUUUCACAAGGUGUUCAUUAUUGUAAGUUGUAAGGUAUCCUUGAUGGUAUUUAUUUGUUCCACAUUAUUCAUUUUUGUAUCCUAGGACCUACAAUAGAGACAUAUAUAUUCAACCACAAGGGUGUACUAAUGAGCUAUGAUAGAAAACAAUGAAUCAUAAUAGAGGACUACUGAAAUAAGUUAAGUAACUUUAAUGUGUCAAGCAGAUUGUUGUAUUUGCCAUUUCUGAAACGUAGCAAUGUUUAAGACAUGGACUUCAUGUUGUAAUGUUAACAAGGUACCCAAAAUUAGUUUGAAGUAAUGUUUUAAUUUUAUUAGCUAAACAAAACUUGUUUGAACAGUGAAAUUGUCACAGAAAUCAGCCUUGUUUGCAUAGCGAUGAUGAAAAGAAUGUCAUUUAGGCUGUAAUGAUCUCCGAAAUUCUAAUCAUUAGGUCAUCAAACCGUUGAUAUAGCAACGGACGCUAAUAGUUUAUUGAAUCCAAUUGUGACACAGAGGGGGACACUUUCUGGCCGGGGGACAUUAUUUAGCAUGACAGGCCCCUGACCUUAGCAUGGUGGUGCCACACUGGGUCUCAGUUUACUGUGAGCACCAACGUUUGUGUGUGGAGGGGGGGGGAUUAUACUCCCUAGAGGGGUGUGUGUGCGCGUGGAGGAAGAAUGCAUUCGCGUUAAAGUGUGUGAAACUAUGAACGUGAUUACUGUCGUGUGUGAGUGUAUGCAGUGUGUGUGUGUGUUUGUGUGUGCGCACUUCUCACACCAGUAAACACAUUUGAAUGGCAGGUUGCAGUGACAGAUUGAAAGGCUGAUGGAUAGAGGGAUGGAUGGAUAGAUGACAGGGAUGGAUGGAUAGGGGGAUAAACAUACAGUGGGG
Molecule: long non-coding RNA, 2642 nt
Organism: Coregonus clupeaformis (lake whitefish)
Lineage: Eukaryota; Metazoa; Chordata; Actinopteri; Salmoniformes; Salmonidae
Exons: 6
Source: RefSeq, a predicted model, not a curated record